RNAcentral lists this ribosomal RNA (712 nucleotides) under Acarospora intermedia. RNAcentral describes it as "partial large subunit ribosomal RNA". It matches the Rfam family "Eukaryotic large subunit ribosomal RNA", at positions 144 to 874 of the family's 3401-position model. Lineage: Eukaryota; Fungi; Ascomycota; Lecanoromycetes; Acarosporales; Acarosporaceae. The record is from RNAcentral.
UGUAAUUUGCAGAGGAUGCUUCGGGUACGGCUCCGGUCUAAGUUCCUUGGAACAGGACGUCACAGAGGGUGAGAAUCCCGUAUGUGACCGGCCGCCACGCCCGUGUGAAGCUCCUUCGACGAGUCGAGUUGUUUGGGAAUGCAGCUCAAAAUGGGUGGUAAAUUUCAUCUAAAGCUAAAUAUUGGCCAGAGACCGAUAGCGCACAAGUAGAGUGAUCGAAAGAUGAAAAGCACUUUGGAAAGAGAGUCAAACAGUACGUGAAAUUGUUGAAAGGGAAGCGCUUGCAACCAGACUUGCCCGCGGGUGAUCAGCCGGUAUUCUUACCGGUGCACUCGCCCGUGGUCAGGCCAGCAUCGGUUCGGGCGGCUGGAUAAAGUCCACUGGAAUGUAGCUCCCCUCGGGGAGUGUUAUAGCCAGAGGUGCCAUGCAGCCCGCCCGGACCGAGGACCGCGCUUCGGCUAGGAUGCUGGCGUAAUGGUUGCAAGCGACCCGUCUUGAAACACGGACCAAGGAGUCUAACAUCUAUGCGAGUGUUUGGGUGUCAAACCCAUGCGCGUAAUGAAAGUGAACGGAGGUGGGAACCCUCAAGGGUGCACCAUCGACCGAUCCUGAUGUCUUCGGAUGGAUUUGAGUAAGAGCAUAGCUGUUGGGACCCGAAAGAUGGUGAACUAUGCCUGAAUAGGGUGAAGCCAGAGGAAACUCUGGUGGAGGC